UAGCUCGAGCAUGAAAUCCCCGAGAAUUGUGGCCGGUAGAGGCAGCUGCCCGGCUGGCGCUGUCGAAGUUGACCUGGAAAGGCACGUCGGAGAGGGUGAGAGCCCCGUGCGCGACACCGGCGGGCCGGGCCAGCUGUCUUCGGAGAGUCGGGUUGUUUGGGAUUGCAGCCCAAAGUGGGUGGUAAACUCCAUCUAAAGCUAAAUACUGGCACGAGACCGAUAGCGAACAAGUACCGUGAGGGAAAGGUGAAAAGUACUU
This 259-nucleotide ribosomal RNA is filed under the name Lissodendoryx cf. colombiensis BR2008-086-001. RNAcentral's name for it is "partial 28S ribosomal RNA". It matches the Rfam family "Eukaryotic large subunit ribosomal RNA", at positions 105 to 376 of the family's 3401-position model. Lineage: Eukaryota; Metazoa; Porifera; Demospongiae; Poecilosclerida; Coelosphaeridae. The record is from RNAcentral.